GGUCAAAGAUGAUUCUGCUCUUGAAUUCUAGUAAUGCUUCUUUGUCCACCACGUGACAUGGCUCCGAAAUUGAGCAUUUUGAAGAGAGGCAUGUGCUUCUAACGACAACUUGGAUUUUCACUAACUUGGCUCUUUGGAAGCAAGUGCCUUUAGUUCAACAAAAAGAAGUUGG
This 172-nucleotide small RNA is filed under the name Vigna angularis var. angularis. RNAcentral describes it as "Non-protein coding transcript". Lineage: Eukaryota; Viridiplantae; Streptophyta; Magnoliopsida; Fabales; Fabaceae. The record is from RNAcentral.